GCGCACGCUGGCGGCGUGCUUAACCCAUGCCAGUCGAACGGAAAGGCCCUGCUUUUGUGGGGUGCUCGAGUGGCGAACGGGUGAGUAACACGUGAGUAACCUGCCCUUGACUUUGGGAUAACUUCAGGAAACUGGGGCUAAUACCGGAUAGGAGCUCCUGCUGCAUGGUGGGGGUUGGAAAGUUUCGGCGGUUGGGGAUGGACUCGCGGCUUAUCAGCUUGUUGGUGGGGUAGUGGCUUACCAAGGCUUUGACGGGUAGCCGGCCUGAGAGGGUGACCGGCCACAUUGGGACUGAGAUACGGCCCAGACUCCUACGGGAGGCAGCAGUGGGGAAUAUUGCACAAUGGGCGGAAGCCUGAUGCAGCAACGCCGCGUGCGGGAUGACGGCCUUCGGGUUGUAAACCGCUUUCGCCUGUGACGAAGCGUGAGUGACGGUAAUGGGUAAAGAAGCACCGGCUAACUACGUG
RNAcentral lists this ribosomal RNA (467 nucleotides) under uncultured bacterium. Its description in RNAcentral is "partial 16S ribosomal RNA". It matches the Rfam family "Bacterial small subunit ribosomal RNA", at positions 30 to 507 of the family's 1533-position model. The record is from RNAcentral.